This 411-nucleotide ribosomal RNA is filed under the name uncultured bacterium. Its description in RNAcentral is "bacterial SSU rRNA". It matches the Rfam family "Bacterial small subunit ribosomal RNA", at positions 30 to 443 of the family's 1533-position model. The record is from RNAcentral.
AUUGAACGCUGGCGGCAUGCCUUACACAUGCAAGUCGAACGGCAGCACGGGAGCAAUCCUGGUGGCGAGUGGCGAACGGGUGAGUAAUAUAUCGGAACGUGCCCAGUCGUGGGGGAUAACGUAGCGAAAGCUACGCUAAUACCGCAUACGAUCUAUGGAUGAAAGCGGGGGAUCGCGAGACCUCGCGCGAUUGGAGCGGCCGAUAUCAGAUUAGGUAGUUGGUGGGGUAAAGCCUACCAAGCCUUCGAUCUGUAGCUGGUCUGAGAGGACGACCAGCCACACUGGAACUGAGACACGGUCCAGACUCCUACGGGAGGCAGCAGUGGGGAAUUUUGGACAAUGGGCGCAAGCCUGAUCCAGCAAUGCCGCGUGCAGGAUGAAGGCCUCGGUUGGUAACUAGCUUUGUUACGG